GACGAACGCUGGCGGCGUGCUUAAUACAUGCAAGUCGAACGGAGUGGCGAACGGGUUAGUAACACGUGGGUGACCUGCCCUGCACUUCGGGAUAAGCCUGGGAAACUGGGUCUAAUACCGGAUAGUGUGAGAUGGGCUCGCGGCCUAUCAGCUUGUUGGUGGGGUAAUGGCCUACCAAGGCGGCGACGGGUAGCCGGCCGGAGAGGGUGUACGGCCACAUUGGGACUGAGACACGGCCCAGACUCCUACGGGAGGCAGCAGUGGGGAAUAUUGGUCAAUGGGCGAGAGCCUGAACCAGCCAAGUAGCGUGCAGGAUGACGGCCUAUGGGUUGUAAACUGCGGGAAACAUCACGUAGGUACCAUACGAAUAAGGACCGGCUAAUUCCGUGCCAGCAGCCGCGGUAAUUC
RNAcentral lists this ribosomal RNA (408 nucleotides) under uncultured bacterium. Its description in RNAcentral is "partial 16S ribosomal RNA". It matches the Rfam family "Bacterial small subunit ribosomal RNA", at positions 28 to 526 of the family's 1533-position model. The record is from RNAcentral.